RNAcentral lists this transfer RNA (72 nucleotides) under Camelus bactrianus (Bactrian camel). It matches the Rfam family "tRNA". Rfam says of the family: Transfer RNA (tRNA) molecules are approximately 80 nucleotides in length. Their secondary structure includes four short double-helical elements and three loops (D, anti-codon, and T loops). The record is from Rfam by way of RNAcentral. RNAcentral also lists the same sequence under 2 other names. Lineage: Eukaryota; Metazoa; Chordata; Mammalia; Artiodactyla; Camelidae.
GGGUGUACAACUCACUGGUAGAGCACGUGCUUAGCAUGCACGAGGUCCAGGGUUCAAUCCCCAGUACCUCCA